Molecule: long non-coding RNA, 587 nt
Organism: Spinacia oleracea (spinach)
Lineage: Eukaryota; Viridiplantae; Streptophyta; Magnoliopsida; Caryophyllales; Amaranthaceae
Exons: 3
Source: RefSeq, a predicted model, not a curated record
GUAUUCUUCAACUGCAGUUAUAGUAGUUCGGAUACUCCACUGAGUGAGGGUCAGUGCCAUUGGUUUUCUCCCAAGGGUUCUACUUUGCUUAAAGCGGGCUCUAAAAAUCGCAAAUGCCGCUCAACAGAUGGCUAAUGCUACUCGGGGUAGUGGUGGUUUAGUUAUGCUGUUCAUUGAAAUCAUCAAUAAGAUCUUUUACCUGUUUGCUGUUGCUUUUCUGCUGAUCUACCAGUCACUUUUCCAUCUAUUUCACCACCUUAGCUGCAAUUUUUUUCGAUGGAGGUUGUAGGAGUUGAAAUUCUCUCUCUGACAGAACUAUUAGCCAUUUCUUGGACUGGAUUUGGCUGUUGAUGAAAUGACUCUGCAUCAUAUUUGCAUUAAGUGCUUCUUGUACUAACUUUAUGGCUGCAGUCUGUUGCAGUCCAAGUUUCUCUGUCUUUGCAACUUGGUCAUCAACUUCCUAGAGAUUGUUGCUGUUUUUACUCAGCUCCAUAUUCAAGUUACUCAUCUCAUGGCUAUUGUUUCCAUCUCCACUUUCUUUUUCAUCUGCUUGAAUGAUAUCUUGGGCCUCAUUCGUUUAUGGUUCA